Molecule: long non-coding RNA, 72 nt
Organism: Sander lucioperca (pikeperch)
Lineage: Eukaryota; Metazoa; Chordata; Actinopteri; Perciformes; Percidae
Exons: 3
Source: RefSeq, a predicted model, not a curated record
GGAAAGAGAAGGGGGGGGGAAGACAUGCAGCAAAUGGCCGCAAGUCGGACUCGAAACCUGAGCCGCUGCAUA